AUACUUACCUGGCGUAGGGGAUACCGUGAUCAUGCAGACGGUUCCCCCAGGGCGAGGCUGCUCCAUUGCACUGCGGAGUGAUUGACCCUUGCGAUUAUUUUUAUUUUUAUCAAUAAAAAAAUCAUAAUAAAAAAUGUAUACCCGAAUAAUUAUUUUCUUUAUAC
Molecule: small nuclear RNA, 164 nt
Filed under: Bombyx mandarina (wild silkworm)
Lineage: Eukaryota; Metazoa; Arthropoda; Insecta; Lepidoptera; Bombycidae
Description: U1 spliceosomal RNA
Rfam family: U1 spliceosomal RNA
About the family: U1 is a small nuclear RNA (snRNA) component of the spliceosome (involved in pre-mRNA splicing). Its 5' end forms complementary base pairs with the 5' splice junction, thus defining the 5' donor site of an intron.
Source: RNAcentral